RNAcentral lists this ribosomal RNA (482 nucleotides) under uncultured bacterium. Its description in RNAcentral is "partial 16S ribosomal RNA". It matches the Rfam family "Bacterial small subunit ribosomal RNA", at positions 30 to 507 of the family's 1533-position model. The record is from RNAcentral.
AUUGAACGCUGGCGGCAUGCCUUACACAUGCAAGUCGAACGGUAACGGGCCUUCGGGUGCCGACGAGUGGCGAACGGGUGAGUAAUACAUCGGAACGUGCCCGAUCGUGGGGGAUAACGAGGCGAAAGCUUUGCUAAUACCGCAUACGAUCUACGGAUGACAGCAGGGGACCGCAAGGCCUUGCGCGGACGGAGCGGCCGAUGGCCGAUUAGGUAGUUGGUGGGAUAAAAGCUUACCAAGCCGACGAUCUGUAGCUGGUCUGAGAGGAUGAUCAGCCACACUGGGACUGAGACACGGCCCAGACUCCUACGGGAGGCAGCAGUGGGGAAUUUUGGACAAUGGGCGCAAGCCUGAUCCAGCCAUGCCGCGUGCAGGAUGAAGGCCUUCGGGUUGUAAACUGCUUUUGUACGGAACGAAAAGCCUUCUUUUAAUACAGGAGGGUCAUGACGGUACCGUAAGAAUAAGCACCGGCUAACUACGUG